RNAcentral lists this transfer RNA (78 nucleotides) under Pyrodictium sp. RNAcentral's name for it is "tRNA-Leu". Lineage: Archaea; Thermoproteati; Thermoproteota; Thermoprotei; Desulfurococcales; Pyrodictiaceae. The record is from RNAcentral.
CCCCGCGCACCUGACGGGCCGUGAAAGGCGCGGAUGAGGACCGGGUGGUCCGGGGUUCGAAUCCCCGCGGCGGGACCA